CAGGUCCGCUGUGGGCCUUUCCCAGGUGUGGCUGAGACUUUCAGGCGCCACGGGCUUCCCCCCAGGCAGGAUGUUGGCGUUUGGAGUUGUUGCGGUGCAGGUGAUGAAGGCAAAUGUGGUGAGCAAAAGAAGAUCAGAGGGUGUGGCUGCUGCAGAGGAUGUGUCUGCUGUUGAGGAUGCCUCUUGAGGAGCAACAGUGAUGCAGAGCACUGCAAAAGCGAAGUGCAUGGGCAAAGGGUGUUGCGGGGUGUGUGUGUGUGUGUGUGUUGGUGUGUGUGUGUGUUGGUGUGUGUGAGGCAGAGGCAGUGGGGUGUGCAUGGCAGAAAGUGAGGGUGGGUGUCAGGCAGGGCAGCUCCAGCCUGUGUCUGUGUUGUUGUGUAGUCUAUGUGGUGUGUGUUGUAGCUGUGCUAUCUUUUGCUCAGGUCUUGAUGUUGCCCUUGCUCUUUGUGCUCAAGGAGCACAGCAUAUGCUUUGUAGUGCUAGUGCAACAGGCAUCUGCUGUCUUUUGUCUGGUCUUGACCGACUCAUCUGUGUUGCUCCAAUGAUCAUCUUGUUCUGUGCAGGCAGCUGAAAGCAGCAGUCUGUCACUGUGAUUCUGCAUUGUUUCUGGCCAAUCAUCUUGGCAGCCAUCAUUCAGGUCUUGUUGGUCGUGUGUUUUCUGAGGCCUCUCUUAUUUUGCAUCUUCCUGGUGCCCUUUCAGGGUUUUCUUCCCUGUGUCAUCAGAGCCUCGGGUCUUUCUUGCUGGCCUCUUCUGCAUGGCCGUUCCUCGCUUUGCCGGCCCCUUUCCAUCACAGAUGGUGGCAUCUGACUCUUUUCUGGUCUCGUGGAGAGCACCAGAGCCGCACGGUCGUGGCAUUGUAGGGCUUUCUGGCUGGCAGCAUCUUCUGUGCUGGCAUUGUUUUUUGCAUGGAGGGUGUGUGUACGUGUCUGUGUGUACGUGUCUGUGUGUACGUGUCUGUGUGUACGUGUCUGUGUGUACGUGUCUGUGUGUACGUGUCUGUGUGUACGUGUCUGUGUGUACGUGUCUGUGUGUACGUGUCUGUGUGUGUGUUUGGAGCUGCCUUGCCUGUGGGUGUAGUAAUGGUAGUUGCCAGAGCAGAAUAAUGUAUCUAUGAAACACUUAUUUUGUUUUUUCUUU
Dromaius novaehollandiae (emu) is the source of this 1138-nucleotide long non-coding RNA. RefSeq lists it as uncharacterized. The transcript is spliced from 3 exons. NCBI's taxonomy places the organism in Eukaryota, Metazoa, Chordata, Aves, Casuariiformes, Dromaiidae. The record is from RefSeq and is a predicted model, not a curated record.